AGCAGCCGCGGUAAUUCCAGCUCCAAUAGCGUAUAUUAAAGUUGUUGCAGUUAAAAAGCUCGUAGUUGAAUUUCGGGAUUGGCGCAUCGGUCGUGCCUCACGGGGUAUGAACUGGUGCAGUCAAUUUCUCACCUUCUGGAGAACCGCGAUGUCCUUAAUUGGAUGCCGCGGGGAACCAGGACCUUUACUUUGAAAAAUUAGAGUGUUUAAAGCAGGCAUUUUUGCUUGAAUACAUUAGCAUGGAAUAAUAAAAUAGGACGGCAUGGUUCUAUUUUGUUGGUUUCUAGGACCACCGUAAUGAUUAAUAGGGAUAGUUGGGGGCAUUAGUAUUCAAUUGUCAGAGGUGAAAUUCUUGGAUUUAUUGAAGACUAACUACUGCGAAAGCAUUUGCCAAGGAUGUUUUCAUUAAUCAAGAACGAAAGUUAGGGGAUCGAAGACGAUCAGAUACCGUCGUAGUCUUAACCAUAAACUAUGCCGACUAGGAAUCAGACGAUGUUAAUUUUU
RNAcentral lists this ribosomal RNA (504 nucleotides) under uncultured Entrophospora. Its description in RNAcentral is "SSU rRNA". It matches the Rfam family "Eukaryotic small subunit ribosomal RNA", at positions 569 to 1071 of the family's 1831-position model. The record is from RNAcentral. Lineage: Eukaryota; Fungi; Glomeromycota; Glomeromycetes; Entrophosporales; Entrophosporaceae.